GCUCCCAUAGUCUAGUGGUAAAACAGUCCUUUGGUAGGGGACAGCGGAUGGUUCGAUUCCAUCUGGGAGCACCA
This 74-nucleotide transfer RNA is filed under the name compost metagenome. RNAcentral describes it as "tRNA-Thr". It matches the Rfam family "tRNA". Rfam says of the family: Transfer RNA (tRNA) molecules are approximately 80 nucleotides in length. Their secondary structure includes four short double-helical elements and three loops (D, anti-codon, and T loops). The record is from RNAcentral.